UCUUUCCUCCCCUAGAAUGCUGUUAGCUCCAUGGGCACAGGGACUCUUCUUCUGUUCCCUGAAUACAACAUCUGGAGCAGUAGCUGGUAUAUCCUUGGCAUUCAAUAAAUGGGAUGAAUACAACCUUAGGUACCUUAGGUAGAUAUUAUUCAUGCAUCCCAAUAUUUUUCUUCGCCAAAAAAGUAGCAAACGAACUACUCAUAUUUGUAGGACAUUCUAUAAUUACAAAAUCCUUCACAUAUACUUUUAUUCAAAUAUCUCAGCAAUUGGGGGGUAAGUAUCUUCAUUCUAGAAAAUAAAAAUCUGAGGCCCAGACAUUCCCUGACAUGGGUAGGGCUUCCAGCCCAGUGCCCUUCCCACUGUGCAGCAUUCUUCCCACCACAAUUGGGAGCCCUCCUCCUCCAUCUAGCCACACCCUGGCCAUCCACCAGGAGCUGCCCCUCCUCCUUUCACUUCCCAGGCACACAAGGACUUUGACGCCUGUGCUCACAUUUUCCUGCCAC
This 503-nucleotide unclassified non-coding RNA is filed under the name Homo sapiens (human). Its description in RNAcentral is "partial intronic ITGA6 antisense RNA". Lineage: Eukaryota; Metazoa; Chordata; Mammalia; Primates; Hominidae. The record is from RNAcentral.